UAGAAACUACAUUUAAUGUUUGAUUAAAAAAACCUGUUUAUUCUAUAGGAAACUAGUUUGAAUAAUUUUUGAAUUCUUCCUUCCCUUCGUGCAUUUUUUUUAAAGUUAAAGAUGGUCAAAAACGUGCAAGUUUGUUAGACAACAUUUGAAUUUCAGAAUAAAGUAGCAGCCCCUCCUUUCUAUGAUGUCCGGACCACCACGGACAGAGCCGAAGCUCACCGAACCAACACUACUGUCUACUGAGUCUGCGUCACUCUGGUGGUGAGCAGCAAAGAUUAUAGCUACCUUUUCUAAAACAAAAUGAAAGUUUUCGAACAGUUGGAAUUCAUCAACAUGGACGUUAGGAUGGCUGGACCGUCACGUUAACAGGAAACUCCUGGGAAACGCCCGCUUUUUAUCGUGCUUGCUAUUUCCAACACACAGUAAGUUAGCAGAGGCUGCUUGGCUAGCUAACGCUGAGAAAAGGUAAAUAAGAGCAACGUCCUAGAAAAAAAAGCUGCAGAGUUUUCCCUUUUACCGGAAAGACAGCUGAAUUUACGCUACAGUUGGUGGUGCAUUUAAGAAGAAAAUGGCAUUUGACUGACCUGUGCGGAUGCUGCUGAAGUAGAAAAGUCUGGAUUUAAUAUUCCUUAUAUCGUCGGAUGGAUUUCAGAGCCACAUCACCAAACAAUCCCGGAAACAAAACUUCCUUCGCCCUGAUUGGACAGCCGAGACCCAGAGGAUUUUUUUUUCUUAAAUGGCAGUGCGUGACCAAAGAGUCAACCAGAUCAUCAACCAGGGCAAGCAGCUGGGGAAGAACAUCCUCCUGCUGGCUCACUACACUACAGUAUUUGCUACACCUGCAGAGAGGCCAGAGGAGGCGUGCGGCUGCUGGAGCCAGGGAGAUGACUCCAGACUCUGACAAACAACCGCAGUGA
RNAcentral lists this long non-coding RNA (917 nucleotides) under Oryzias sinensis (Chinese medaka). RNAcentral describes it as "lncRNA (ENSOSIG00000001186.1)". The record is from RNAcentral. Lineage: Eukaryota; Metazoa; Chordata; Actinopteri; Beloniformes; Adrianichthyidae.